RNAcentral lists this long non-coding RNA (1279 nucleotides) under Malus domestica (apple). RNAcentral's name for it is "long non-coding RNA (MDOM_LNC018565)". The record is from RNAcentral. Lineage: Eukaryota; Viridiplantae; Streptophyta; Magnoliopsida; Rosales; Rosaceae.
AUGCUCCAAAAUGCAUCUUCUUGCCUACUUUGUCCUUAAAAUCUGAAAACACACGAAAAAUGACUUUAAACAUUAAAAAUAACUAAGGAAACACGACAUAAAUGCACAAAGAACAAGCCAACUAAGUCGCAUAAAUAUGCUCCAAUCAAAUUCCCCCACACUUAGCUUUUGCUAGUCCUCGAGCAAACAAAGAAAUAAAACGAAACAAAACAAAUACAACACAAUCUUGAUAGGAGCAUACUUAUGCGCCUUAGUUAGCUAGUUCUUAUGCAUUUUCGUUAUGUUUUCUGCGUUAAAGUAGUCUUUUGAGCUACUUUCAUGUGUUUUCAGGUUCAAAGGGGCAUAAUACAUAAAAGAUGGCAAAAUGGAGCAUGUUAGAGCAAAAGUGAGCUUGGAUUGAAAAGUACAUGCUUGGAGCACAAGGAAUGGACGAGUUUGAAGGUCAAGGGAGCUUAAGAAAUGAAGAAAUGAAAGUGAAGAACAAAGAAUUCAGAAUUAGAAACCAAAGUUUCUAAAGUUGGAAGUUUCUAUUCUCGGAGGUUUCCAUUUGUGAGAGUUUCUAUUCUUGGCUUUGGGCUUCUAGAUGACCCAUCCUUACCUCUUGGACAAGGCCGCACCUUCCUAGCCCAAUUCAUCUUGGAUCCUCACUUAAUGCCGCACCUAAACCCUAGCCCAUUGCAUAUUUCUGACUUCUAAGCCUUAGCCGCACCCUAGGCCUCAUUCCCAUUAAAAAUCUGAUUGUUUAACCUAAUUUAUGAUGAAUUUGGGCUUCUAAAAACCCUAACCUGAUUUACUAGGGUUUUUGGGUGCCUAUAUAUACUUGUUAAACCUUUUGGCCGAAUCAUCACCCCCCAUAUCAUUCAUUCACGCCAAAAACCCUAGUUCUCUCCCUGCCGCAACCUUCCACCCCCAAACUCCCAUAUUUCUGCCACAAUUCACCCUUGCCGCACCAUCCCCUUCCCCAACCUAUUACUACAUCCUUCCACCACCAUUCAUCCACCUUGUGCAGCCACCAUUGAAGGAGAGAAAGGACUAGUGCCGUGCAGCCCAAAGGAGGAAGACACCUUGCACAUGCAAUCUGCCAUUAGUGGAGUGUUUGGAGUUCUUUCUUCCCUUGUUUCUGUUUUCAUGUUUAAUUUAAUUUGCUUUUCAAUUAUGUUAAACAUGUGAAACUAAUUUCUUUUUAGUUAGAGGUGAAUUUGAAGCCAUGGACAUAUGUUUUACAUGAUUUGAUUUCUUCCAAUUAUGAUUUCAGAAAUUGUGAAUGUGAUUUACUUAU